Molecule: ribosomal RNA, 253 nt
Filed under: uncultured bacterium
Lineage: Bacteria
Description: partial 16S ribosomal RNA
Rfam family: Bacterial small subunit ribosomal RNA
Source: RNAcentral
GACGAACCGUGCGAACGUUGUUCGGAAUCACUGGGCUUAAAGGGCGCGUAGGCGGGCUGACAAGUCUGGGGUGAAAUGCCGCGGCUCAACCGUAGAACUGCCUUAGAUACUGUCGGCCUCGAGGAAGGUAGGGGCAUGCGGAACUGUAGGUGGAGCGGUGAAAUGCGUUGAUAUCUACAGGAACUCCGGUGGCGAAAGCGGCGUGCUGGACCUUUUCUGACGCUGAGGCGCGAAAGCUAGGGGAGCAAACGGG